UGAGGAAUAUUGGACAAUGAGCGCAAGCCUGAUCCAGCCAUGCCGCGUGAGUGAUGAAGGCCUUAGGGUUGUAAAGCUCUUUCACCGGUGAAGAUAAUGACGGUAACCGGAGAAGAAGCCCCGGCUAACUUCGUGCCAGCAGCCGCGGUAAUACGAAGGGGGCUAGCGUUGUUCGGAAUUACUGGGCGUAAAGCGCGCGUAGGCGGACCGUUAAGUCGGGGGUGAAAUCCCAGAGCUCAACUCUGGAACUGCCUUCGAUACUGGCGGUCUCGAGUCCGGGAGAGGUGAGUGGAAUUCCGAGUGUAGAGGUGAAAUUCGUAGAUAUUCGGAGGAACACCAGUGGCGAAGGCGGCUCACUGGCCCGGUACUGACGCUGAGGUGCGAAAGCGUGGGGAGCAAACAGGAUUAGAUACCCGUGUAGUCC
RNAcentral lists this ribosomal RNA (424 nucleotides) under uncultured prokaryote. Its description in RNAcentral is "bacterial SSU rRNA". It matches the Rfam family "Bacterial small subunit ribosomal RNA", at positions 355 to 796 of the family's 1533-position model. The record is from RNAcentral.